GACGAACGCUGGCGGCGUGCUUAACACAUGCAAGUCGAACGGAAAGGCCCUGCUUUUGUGGGGUGCUCGAGUGGCGAACGGGUGAGUAACACGUGAGUAACCUGCCCUUGACUUUGGGAUAACUUCAGGAAACUGGGGCUAAUACCGGAUAGGAGCUCCUGCUGCAUGGUGGGGGUUGGAAAGUUUCGGCGGUUGGGGAUGGACUCGCGGCUUAUCAGCUUGUUGGUGGGGUAGUGGCUUACCAAGGCUUUGACGGGUAGCCGGCCUGAGAGGGUGACCGGCCACAUUGGGACGGAGAUACGGCCCAGACUCCUACGGGAGGCAGCAGUGGGGAAUAUUGCACAAUGGGCGGAAGCCUGAUGCAGCAACGCCGCGUGCGGGAUGACGGCCUUCGGGUUGUAAACCGCUUUCGCCUGUGACGAAGCGUGAGUGACGGUAAGGGGUAAAGAAGCACCGGCUAACUACG
Molecule: ribosomal RNA, 466 nt
Filed under: uncultured bacterium
Lineage: Bacteria
Description: partial 16S ribosomal RNA
Rfam family: Bacterial small subunit ribosomal RNA
Source: RNAcentral